CACCUUUCCUAGUACACCUCUGUGAAUGUCAGGAUCACUGUUUGAUCCAGCACGUAGAACUGUACAGCACGGAUGACAAAUAAGUAAUGUAUUACCGGUCCUUAGAAUGGCCGGAUUUAACGUACAGAGAAUAGUCAAAAAUACUAGCCGAGGUCAGGGAACACAGAAAGGGACACAGCGAUGAGGAAAGCCAGGAGUCAGGAUACCAGAAUAUAAAGUGCC
Pelobates cultripes (western spadefoot toad) is the source of this 222-nucleotide non-coding RNA. The record is from the annotation of a GenBank genome assembly. Lineage: Eukaryota; Metazoa; Chordata; Amphibia; Anura; Pelobatidae.